This 218-nucleotide long non-coding RNA is filed under the name Olea europaea (common olive). RNAcentral describes it as "long non-coding RNA (OEUR_LNC004569)". Lineage: Eukaryota; Viridiplantae; Streptophyta; Magnoliopsida; Lamiales; Oleaceae. The record is from RNAcentral.
UUUAAUCUCCAAUUUCAUUAAGGUAAGAAUACCAAUUUUUUUGGCAAACUCUAGAUUUUAAAUUGGAUACUUGAGUAAGGAUUAAUUGUGAACAUGAUUAUGGUGAUGAUAUAUUAACUUGAAAGAAUGGAUCUAUGGAAUAAGAUGUAAAUUAGAUUGGUGCAAGUGGGAAUUCAAGUUUCACUAGAUUAGAAUAAAGAAUUGUUUUUAUGUUUGGG